GAUGAACGCUAGCGGCAGGCCUAACACAUGCAAGUCGAGGGGUAUCCCGCUUUCGGGCGGGAGAGACCGGCGCACGGGUGCGUAACGCGUAUGCAACCUACCCUGUACUGGGGGGUAGCCCGGAGAAAUUCGGAUUAACACCCCAUAGUACUAAUGAAUGGCAUCAUUUAUUAGUUAAAGGUUACGGUACAGGAUGGGCAUGCGUCCUAUUAGCUAGAUGGUAAGGUAACGGCUUACCAUGGCUACGAUAGGUAGGGGGCCUGAGAGGGUGGUCCCCCACACUGGUACUGAGAAACGGACCAGACUCCUACGGGAGGCAGCAGUGAGGAAUAUUGGUCAAUGGGCGCAAGCCUGAACCAGCCAUGCCGCGUGCAGGAAGACGGUCCUAUGGAUUGUAAACUGCUUUUAUUUGGGAAUAAACCUCUUUACGUGUAGAGAGCUGAAGGUACCAAAUGAAUAAGCACCGGCUAACUCCGUGCCAGCAGCCGCCGUAA
This 494-nucleotide ribosomal RNA is filed under the name uncultured bacterium. Its description in RNAcentral is "partial 16S ribosomal RNA". It matches the Rfam family "Bacterial small subunit ribosomal RNA", at positions 28 to 523 of the family's 1533-position model. The record is from RNAcentral.